GGAAUCUGGAUAUGGUGGGAGAGAGCUGGCCUAGAGCCAUGAAGCUCAGACCCUCCUGAAGACGGAGGCUUGGGUGCUUGGAGAACACGUAGUAGAGAAUGCUUUUUCUUUCCUCCUUGGCUCUCUCUUGGCAGAAGGUGAUGAGCCUGGCUCCAAUCUGCUGGCGAACUCCCCUCUGAUGGAGGAUGCUCCACAGAGGCUGCGGUGGCAGGCCCACCUGGAGUUCACCCAUAACCACGAUGUGGGGGAUCUCACCUGGGACAAGAUUGCUGUCUCCCUACCCCGCUCUGAGAAGCUCCGCUCCCUGGUGCUGGCCGGCAUCCCACAUGGCAUGAGGCCACAGCUGUGGAUGCGGCUCUCUGGGGCCCUGCAGAAGAAGAGGAACUCUGAGCUGUCCUACCGCGAGAUUGUGAAGAACAGCUCCAACGAUGAGACCAUCGCUGCCAAGCAGAUCGAGAAGGACCUGCUCCGCACCAUGCCCAGCAAUGCCUGCUUCGCCAGCAUGGGUAGCAUCGGGGUGCCCCGCCUGCGCAGGGUGCUCCGGGCCCUGGCCUGGCUCUACCCAGAGAUCGGCUACUGCCAGGGCACCGGCAUGGUGGCCGCCUGCCUCCUGCUGUUCCUGGAGGAGGAGGAUGCCUUCUGGAUGAUGUCUGCCAUCAUCGAGGACCUGCUCCCCGCCUCCUACUUCAGCACCACCCUGCUGGGCGUCCAGACUGACCAGCGGGUCCUGCGCCACCUCAUUGUCCAGUACCUGCCUCGCCUGGACAAGCUGCUCCAGGAGCAUGACAUUGAGCUGUCCCUGAUCACACUGCACUGGUUCCUCACGGCCUUCGCCAGCGUGGUGGACAUCAAGCUGCUCCUGCGCAUCUGGGACCUGUUUUUCUACGAGGGCUCCCGGGUGCUGUUCCAGCUCACGCUGGGCAUGCUGCACCUCAAGGAGGAAGAGCUGAUCCAGUCAGAGAACUCGGCCUCCAUCUUCAACACGCUAUCGGAUAUCCCGUCGCAGAUGGAGGACGCGGAGCUGCUUCUGGGGGUGGCCAUGCGGCUGGCCGGCUCCCUCACCGAUGUGGCCGUGGAGACUCAGCGCCGCAAGCACCUGGCCUAUCUCAUUGCAGACCAGGGCCAGCUCCUGGGGGCCGGCACCCUCACCAACCUCUCUCAGGUGGCCCAGGAUGGGGGGGCCGCACCUUGACCCACAGCACACGGGGAGGAGGGGUCACCUUGAAGUUCAGAGCGCAGGGGCUGCGGGAAACAAACCAGCCCUUCCUGCUCUGCCCCCCAGCCUGGCCCAGUCAGACCACAGCUGUGGGGUGAUCCAUGCCUCCUCAGGCUUUGUGCACCUCAGGUUCUGAUCCCGGCACGGUUUGGGAGGAAGGCAGACCCAGCUCUGAUUAUCUGUUUUCAAUUCUUGGAGCCAGCGUCAGAGGCUAUUUCAGAUGAGACAGUAUAAGCCAAGGGCUGGUGGGUUCUCUUCCUCCCGGGGCCAGGACCACCCUGACCCACUCCUCUUGGUGCAGGUUGUUCGCCGCAGGACCCAGCGGAGGAAGUCCACCAUCACUGCUCUGCUCUUUGGUGAGAGCUCUGCGAGUGCCAGGCAGUGUGGGCAUGCGGGAGUCUGUCCUCACGCUCAUGUGGACGUGGAGCUUCCUCCUCGGGGGCCUGGAGUGGGCUGUGGUCACCAUUGCUCUCUGGGCCUCCUAGGGGAGGAUGACCUGGAGGCACUCAAGGCCAAGAACAUCAAGCAGACGGAACUGGUGGCUGACCUCCGGGAAGCCAUCCUGCGCGUGGCACGCCACUUCCAGUGCACAGACCCCAAAAACUGCAGCGUGGUGAGUCGCCAGCUCCCUGGGCUGCUACCAAACAUGGCCCUAACUCCUCCAACCCCCUUGGUGGGCCUGUUUUCACUGUGGCAGGAGCUGACUCCAGACUACAGCAUGGAGAGCCACCAGCGGGACCACGAGAACUACGUGGCAUGCUCACGCAGCCACCGGCGCCGAGCCAAGGCCCUGCUGGACUUUGAGCGGCACGACGACGACGAGCUGGGCUUCCGCAAGAACGACAUCAUCACAGUGCGUUGGGGGCGCUGGGUUACCAGGUCCUCAGGCUGUGGCGGGUUCCCCAGACUCCCUCCACCAAGCCCCACCCAACCCCUUUCCCUGCCAAGAGCUUCUCUUGUGAAGAUGUAGGGGUCUUGGCCUGGCCUAGUUGCUGAGGAGUCAUAUCGGGGGUGCAGGAGGCGCUGGCCCAGGGCACCCAGCUUUGGUUCCUGCUGUUUUUCCUCCUGUGCAGAUCGUGUCUCAGAAGGACGAGCACUGCUGGGUGGGGGAGCUCAACGGCCUGCGAGGUGGGGUCCUUGGUCUGCUCUUGAGCUGGGAGAGGGAGGAGGGGGUGGGCACAGAAGACUUGGGUGACCCUGGCCGCCACCAGGCUGUUCUCCUCUAUACCCCUGCCUGGCUUGAGGUCCCUGAAGCAGCUGAGCCGGCUUCCCACUGCCUCAGCCUGCCUGCAGGCUGUGUCUGCUCUGUCCUCGGCCCUCGUGGUUGCUCCUUACAGGGCCUGUUUUUCCCACAGGCUGGUUUCCAGCCAAGUUCGUGGAAGUCCUGGAUGAGCGCAGCAAAGAGGUGAGGGGGGUGGGCGGGCUAGGCACGGCUGGCACCCUUCUAGCCAGGGCCUGCGUGCCCAGUGAGUCCUGGCCUGUAGCAUGGCAGAGAGGACAGAGGAGGGUGACUGGCUGCAGGCAUCAGGCAGGGCUUUCUCAGACCCAUCCCUCCCAUCAGUACUCCAUCGCGGGGGAUGACUCGGUGACGGAGGGGGUCACAGACCUCGUGCGAGGGACCCUCUGCCCGGCCCUUAAGGCCCUGUUCGAACAUGGACUGAAGAAGCCAUCCCUGCUUGGGGGCGCCUGCCACCCCUGGCUGUUUAUCGAGGAGGCUGCAGGCCGGGAGGUCGAGAGAGACUUUGCCUCCGUGUAUUCCCGUCUGGUGCUCUGUAAGACCUUCAGGUUGGAUGAAGAUGGCAAAGUCCUGACCCCGGAGGAGCUGCUCUACCGGGUAAGGGGGCCUCCUCUGCCAGACCCUAGAGAUCUCUCUGGGGUUAGCCUGUGGGGGAGCCUGAGUGACAGCUGACGGUGCCAUUCCCAGGCCGUGCAGUCUGUGAACGUGACCCACGAUGCAGUGCAUGCACAAAUGGAUGUGAAGCUCCGCUCACUGAUCUGCGUGGGGCUCAAGUGAGUGUGGAAAAGGGGUUGAAGGAGAGCCCUGGAGUGGGGGGACCCAGCCCAGCAUCAGGGGGGGUCCUUACAGGGAACCCUAAAGGACAAAGAACCUCAGGGGCUCAGGUCCUUCCCCAAAGAGGGUGGUCUGGGAGCUGCUGAGAGACAGGUCAGAGGCUUCCACCGUGGCUGCAGCCAGAAGGGCCUGGAGCCGCCCCUGCUCCCCACUCCUGGCCAUGUCCCCAGUGAGCAGGUGCUGCACCUGUGGCUGGAGGUGCUCUGCUCCAGCCUGCCCACCGUGGAGAAGUGGUACCAGCCCUGGUCCUUCCUGCGCAGCCCAGGCUGGGUCCAGAUCAAGUGUGAGCUCCGAGUCCUCUGCUGCUUUGCCUUCAGCCUCUCCCAGGACUGGGAGCUCCCUGCAAAGAGAGAGGUGGGUGGUGUGGGCCUCGUAGGGCCUGCACUGAUGGAGCUGCCCAAACCGUUCGCGGGGUGGCUAAGGUGGGAACCCGAAGUGCUGGUGUCAGCGGUUAGGAACUACCCCAGCCAUGCCCAAGGCCUGUGAGGUGAGGGGCUGCCCUGUUUGCAGGCGCAGCAGCCCCUGAAGGAGGGCGUCCGGGACAUGCUGGUGAAGCACCACCUCUUCAGCUGGGAUGUGGACGGGUGACCCCCUCCUCCCCAGCCCAACCUCGGGCCUGCGUCUGAGGUGGCCCAGGGAAGAGCAGCUCCAGAGCCCUGGCCAGGGCCCCGGGAUAUCAGGCUGCCCCGCUCCACGUUCCCCAGCACAUCCCAGGUGGUGGGAGCAGAGGGUACCCUGCCCCACCAGGGUCCUUAGGGAUGCUCUAGGCCAAACCACAGUUUGUACCAAAAACCUUGUGAGGAGGUGGGGGAGCCAUGUCUGUGCUCAGGAAGAGGGAAGGGGAUGGGGGUGGCUAGUAGGCUCCUGGCCUCUUUGGUUUAUAAAUAAACUGUGUCUGUCUUUG
This 4191-nucleotide small RNA is filed under the name Pan troglodytes (chimpanzee). RNAcentral's name for it is "retained intron". Lineage: Eukaryota; Metazoa; Chordata; Mammalia; Primates; Hominidae. The record is from RNAcentral.